This 496-nucleotide ribosomal RNA is filed under the name uncultured bacterium. RNAcentral describes it as "partial 16S ribosomal RNA". It matches the Rfam family "Bacterial small subunit ribosomal RNA", at positions 28 to 506 of the family's 1533-position model. The record is from RNAcentral.
GAUGAACGCUGGCGGCGUGCCUAAUACAUGCAAGUCGAGCGAACGGACGAGAAGCUUGCUUCUCUGAUGUUAGCGGCGGACGGGUGAGUAACACGUGGAUAACCUACCUAUAAGACUGGGAUAACUUCGGGAAACCGGAGCUAAUACCGGAUAAUAUUUUGAACCGCAUGGUUCAAAAGUGAAAGACGGUCUUGCUGUCACUUAUAGAUGGAUCCGCGCUGCAUUAGCUAGUUGGUAAGGUAACGGCUUACCAAGGCAACGAUGCAUGGCCGACCUGAGAGGGUGAUCGGCCACACUGGAACUGAGACACGGUCCAGACUCCUACGGGAGGCAGCAGUAGGGAAUCUUCCGCAAUGGGCGAAAGCCUGACGGAGCAACGCCGCGUGAGUGAUGAAGGUCUUCGGAUCGUAAAACUCUGUUAUUAGGGAAGAACAUAUGUGUAAGUAACUGUGCACAUCUUGACGGUACCUAAUCAGAAAGCCACGGCUAACUACGU